RNAcentral lists this ribosomal RNA (419 nucleotides) under bacterium. Its description in RNAcentral is "partial 16S ribosomal RNA". It matches the Rfam family "Bacterial small subunit ribosomal RNA", at positions 355 to 776 of the family's 1533-position model. The record is from RNAcentral.
UGGGGGAUAUUGCACAAUGGGCGCAAGCCUGAUGCAGCGACGCCGCGUGGGGGAUGAAGGCCUUCGGGUUGUAAACUUCUUUUGCUCUGAACAAGGCGCACUUUGGGGUGUGUUGAGUGUAGGGGUUGAUUAGCGCCGGCUAACUACGUGCCAGCAGCCGCGGUAAUACGUAGGGCGCGAGCGUUGUCCGGAAUUAUUGGGCGUAAAGGGCUUGUAGGUGGCUGGUUGCGUCUGUCGUGAAAGCUCAUGGCUUAACUGUGGGUUUGCGGUGGGUACGGGCCGGAUUGAGUGCAGUAGGGGAGGCUGGAAUUCCUGGUGUAGCGGUGGAAUGCGAAGAUAUCAGGAGGAAUACCGGUGGCGAAGGCGGGUCUCUGGGCUGUUACUGACACUGAGGAGCGAAAGCAUGGGGAGCGAACAGG